Molecule: long non-coding RNA, 5948 nt
Filed under: Brassica napus (rape)
Lineage: Eukaryota; Viridiplantae; Streptophyta; Magnoliopsida; Brassicales; Brassicaceae
Description: long non-coding RNA (BNAP_LNC020856)
Rfam family: Eukaryotic large subunit ribosomal RNA (bases 2835-2930)
Source: RNAcentral
CUACCGUCUGGUUCUUUCCUCGGCAUUAAACUGUAUAUGUCGUUUACCUAUGUGUAGGAGUUCAUCAGCAAUCACAAGGAACCGGCUUCGGUUUCAGGGGGAUAUGCUAGAGUGGAUACUGGUUAUGUACCUGCGUACCCUCCUCAGCUGAGCAACCUUCAAGAGUCGCUCGCGAGCAGCUACAUGGGCACAGAGACGGGGCAGUACAGACCAACAGCAUACUCUCAGCUUGCUGGUCCGUCAAAUAGCAGCUUUCGUAAAAAUCAUUAAAAAAAACAACCUUUUGAUGAAAAAAUCUGCAAGAAUACUUAUACAUCAACAAAAAAUUCUAGUUAUCCUAAUUUCUAAUACACAAUCCCAAAUCUACAAUAGUUCUCUAUAAAAAAGAAAACUUCCGAAAAAUAGGAGGUUUUUCAUAAAUUAUUUAAAAAAUGCAACCUAUUGAUGAAAAAUUCUGAAUGUAUACUCAUCUAUUAACAAAAAUUCUUGUUAUACUAUUCUCUGAGUCACAAUCCCAAAUCUACAAUAGUCCUGUAUAAAAAUGAAAACUUUCCAAAAAUAGCACCUUUCGUAAAAAUUAUUAAAAAAAAACAACCUUUUGAUGAAAAAAUUUAAAAGAAUAUUUAUAUUUCAACAAAAAUUCUAGUUAUCCUAAUUUCUAAUACACAAUCCCAAAUCUACAUUAGUUCUCUAUAAAAACGAAAACUUCCGAAAAAUAGGAGGUUUUUCAAAAAUUAUUUAAAAAAUACAACCUGUUGAUGAAAAAAUCUGAUUGAAAACUCAUCUAUUAACAAAAAUUCUUGUUAUACUAAUCUCUAAGUCACAAUCCCAAAUCUACAAUAGUCCUCUAUAAACAAUCUUUUAAUGAAAAAUUCUGGAAGAAUACUCAUAUUUCAAAAAAAUCUUGUUAUUUUAAUUUCUCAGUCACAAUCUCAAAUAUACAAUAGUUAUCUAUACAAAUGAAAACUUUACAAAAAUCGUAGCUUUUAUAAAAAUUAUUUAAAAAAUGCAACAUAUUGAAGAAAAAAAUCUGAAAGAAUGCUUAUAUAUCAACAAAAAUACUUGUUAUCCUAAUUUCAAAGUCACAAUCCCAAAUCUACAAUUGAUCUCUAUUGAAAUUAAAACUUUCCAGAAAUAGCAGGUUAUUAAAAAAUUAUUUUAAAAUUGCUACCUAUUGAUGAAAAAUUCUCAAAGAAUAUUCAUCUAUCAACAAAAAUUCUAGUUAUCCUAUUUUCUAAGUCAAAAUCCCAAAUCUACAAUAGUUCUCUUUAGAAAUGAAAACUUGCCACAAAUAGUAGUUCUUUGAAAGAAUACUCAUUUAUCAAAACAAAAUUCUUGUUAUCCUUAUUUCUAAGUCACAAUCCCAAAUCUACAAUAAUUCUCAAUAAAAAUGAAAACUUUCCAAAAAUAGGAGAUUUUUGAAAAAUUAUUUAAAAAAUGCAACCUAUUGAUUAAAUAUUCUUUAACAAUACGCAUAAUCCCAAAUCUACAAUAGUUCUCUAUUGAAAUGAUAACUUUUCAAAAUUAUUUUAAAAAUGCAACGUAUCGAUGAAAAGUUUUGAAAGAAUACUCAUCUAUUAACAAAAAUUCUUGUUACACUAAUUUCUAAGUCACAAUCCAAAAUCUACAAUAGUUCUCUCUAGAACAAAAAACUUUCCAAAAAUAGCAGCUUUCGUAAAUAUUAUUGAAAAAAAUGCAACCUUUUGAUGAAAAAUCCGAAAAUACUCAUCUAUCAACAAAAAUUCUUGUUAUCCUUAUUUAUAAGUCACAAUCCCAAAUCUAAAAUUGUUUUCUAUAGAAAUGAAAACUUUCCAAAAAUAGUAGGUUUCUAAUUUUUUUUUUAAAUGCAACCUAUUAAUGAAUAAUUCUGAAAGAAUAUCCAUCUAUCAAAAACAUACUUGUUAUUUUAAUUUCUAAGUCACAAUCUCAAAUUUACAAUAGUUCUUUAUACAAAUGAAAGCUUUCCAAAAAUAUCAGCUUUUGUAAAAAUUAUUUAAAAAAUACAACCUUUUGAUGAAAAUUUCUGAAAAAUACUCAUAUAUCAACAAAAAUUCUAGUUGUCCUAAUUUCUAAGUCACAAUCCCAAAUCUACAAUAGUUCUCUAUAUAAAUGAAAACUUUCCACAAAUUGCAGUUCUCUGAAAGAAUACUCAUCUAUGAAAACAAAUUUUUGUUAUCCUUAUUUCUAAGUCAAAGUCCCAAAUCUGCAAUAUUUUCUUAUAAAAAUUAAAACUUUCCAAAAAUAGGAGGUUUUUACAAAUUAUUUAAUAAAUGCAACCUAUCAAUGAAAAAUUCUGAAGGAAUACUCAUCUAUUAACAAAAAUUUUUGUUAUACUAAUUUCUAAGUCACAAUUCCAAAUCUACAAUAGUUCUGUAUAGAAAUGAAAACUUUCCAAAAAUAGUAGUUUUUCUAAAAAUUAUUGAAAAAUGUAACCUAUUGAUGAAAAAUUCUGAAAGAAUAUUCAUCUAUCAAAACAAAUUAUUGUUACCCUUAUUUCUAAGUCACAAUCCCAAAUCUACAAAGUUCUCAAUAAAAAUGAAAACUUUCCAAAAAUAUGAGGUUUUUAAAAAAUUAUUUGAAAAAUGCAACAUAUCGAUAAAAAUUCUGAAAGUAUACUCAUCUAUUAACAAAAAUUCUUGUUAUACUAAUUUAUAAAUCACAAUCCAAAAUCAACAAUAGUUCUCUAUAGAAAUAAAAACUUUUCCAAAAAUAGCCGCUUUCGUAAAAAGUAUUGAAAAAAGGCAACCUUUUGAUGAAAAAUUCCGAAAGAAUACUCAUCUAUCAACAAAAAUUCUUUUUAUCCUUGUUUCUAAGUCACAAUCUCAAAUCUACAAUAGGACUAUCAUUGUGAAGCAGAAUUCACCAAGUGUUGGAUUGUUCACCCACCAAUAGGGAACGUGAGCUGGGUUUAGACCGUCGUGAAAUAUGUUAGUUUUACCCUAUUGAUGCCCGCGUCACAAUAUUAAUUCAACCUAGUACGAGAGGAACCGUUGAUUCGCACAAUUGGUCAUCGCGCUUGCCCAAUAUCAACAAAGAAUUGAAACGACAUCGUAUAUAAAUGGCUUUUUGAAAAAAUACUCGUCUAUCGGAAGAUGUUAUAAGUUUAGGGUUUAACUGGUGACCAUUAUAGGAACAUUAGGAAUGAUUAGGAAAAAAAUGCAGAGGAAUAAAAUUAGAGGAAUGAAAGGAACAAAUUUGUUCUAUAUUCCUCUAGAAUAAAAUGAAUGAAAAGGAAAAACUAUUCAUUGUAAACGGUAAAAAAGUUUUGGAAUAGUAAGGAAUGCAUUAUUCCUUUUCAUUCUUUGGUCAACAGUUAGACCAUAAAUAUUCGUCCGACUGGUGACCAUUCUGGAAACAAGAGGAACGAAUAGAAAAUGAACGUAAAGAAAUAAAAUUGGAGGAAUGAAAAAAAAUGGUUGUUCCAUCCCAUAUUUAAAAAGGAAUAACUUUGUUCUUUAUUUCUUUACAAAAAAAGAAUGAUAGGAAAUUAGAAAGAAAAAUUAUUCGUAAUGAAUGGUGAUUUUUUUAUGAAUGCUAGGGAAAGCAUUAUUCCUCGUUGUGAGCGUUCAUGAAUAUGGCUUUUGGUCGGAAGAAAAAAGAAUAUAGCUCAUGGGCUAAAAGAAGCCCAAUUUAAUAUCAUUACGGGCCUAAUCUACAUAACAUGCCCAAAGGCCUAAACAUCUGAGUUGAAACGACAUCGUAUAUAAUCAAAGGUCAAAUCAUCUUCUCCUUCUCGCUCGCUCGCUAUCCCCUUUUUUUUAAUUUGUUCCGAUUCUAAUGGCCGCCGUCGCAGAUUCCGCCGAGAACGGUGCUACAAACUUCCCCGAGAAUGAAAACCUCACACCUUCGGGAGUCACUGCCUCCUCAUUGCUCAACGAAGCCUCCGGCGCCUUCCCCGAAUCGAAUCAGCCGGAUACCCUAACUGCCGAGACUGCCCCCGAUGCGAACGAUUCCGCGGCGGAGAGAUGGCCAGGAUGGCCUGGGGAUUGCGUGUUUCGUGUGAUCGUUCCUGUAUCUAAGGUCGGAGCUAUAAUCGGACGCAAAGGAGAUAUCAUCAGAAAGAUGUGCGAGGAGACUCGCGCUCGCAUCAAAGUCCUCGACGGUCCCACCACAACUCCUGAUCGCAUUGUUAGUAUCUCUCCUUUAUCGUUCCGAAUUGGGUUUUUCUAAAGGUUGUAACUUUCUUAAACCUAAUUAGAGAAAAUUAGGGUUUUUGUUAGCAUCAGUAUUCAGAUUCAUGGGGGUAUGAUCAUUGCGAUGCUCUUUCUAGUGAAAGUUGCAAGCUUUCUGUGUUUGAUUGUAGUUUGAAGUGUCCACUUGAGUUAUUCCGUUUAAGUCGAAGUUUCAGUUUUGAUUGCUUUAUGGGUUUGAUUGUAGUUUUAAGUGUCCUUUGUUAUGUUUAGGUGAUGAUAUCUGCAAAGGAAGAACCAGAGGCAUACAUGUCCCCUGCGAUGGAGGCAGUUGUAAGGGUGUUCAGAAGAGUUUCGGGGUUGCCUGAUAGUGAUGAUGAUGAGGAUCUUCAGAACGCUGGAGGUGCCUUCUCUUCAGUGCGUUUACUAGUUGCAUCUUCGCAGGCGAUUAAUUUAAUCGGGAAACAAGGGUCCUCUAUUAAAUCUAUAGUAGAGAACUCUGGUGCAUCGGUUCGCAUUUUAUCAGACGGUACUAACAUUAUCUAUGUUUGUUAUUUCUCAGUUAACUGUCAUCUCUGGAGUUGUUAAACCGGAUGAUUAUAAGUACACUGUGUUUUCUUGUUGCCAGAGGACACACCGUUUUAUGCUGCGCAAGAUGAGAGGAUAGUGGAUUUGCAGGGGGAAGCUUUAAAGAUCGUAAAGGCGUUAGAAGGUGUUGUAGGACACCUGAGGAAAUUCCUACUCGACCAUUCUGUGGUUCCUCUCUUCGAGAAACAAGUAAGCUUGAUUCUCUGAAACGACUUCUUCCUUUUUUUCAAUUCUCUCGGAAUAACCUAACUUCUGUGAUUUAUUUUCUUCUCUUUAGUAUCUAGCUAGAGUCUCUCAAGUUCGUCAGGAAGAACCGUUAGCUAACAACAAGUCAGCUCUCCACGCUGCUUUGUCAAAUGCAAUCGAGUCUGAUCUCAUGGCACGGAGGGAAGCUCUGUUUUUGGAGCGGGAUACUCGGGUGGAGUCAUUUGUUCAGCCUUCGGGAGCUUCCAUAUACAGUCAGGAUCCUGCACUCUCCGCCAGACACUCCCCUGGCCUCGCUCGAGUUUCUGCUGCUUUUGUUACACAGGUAGUUAUCACGUUCUUGUUCUUUUUUGGUCUUCUACUAGCGUCUUUGUCUUAUCGCUUCUAAUUUAAUCUCUUGGAACUAGUGAAGAUUUUUCUAUAAUGGGUGUUUCGUACCAGGUAUCUCAGACGAUGCAAAUACCGUUUUCCUAUGCGGAGGAUAUCAUUGGUUUAGAAGGAGCUAAUAUAGCCUUCAUCCGUAGAAGAAGCGGAGCUACCAUUACCAUUCAAGAGAGUCCACAUCCUGAUCAAAUCACAGUGGAAAUCAAAGGGACAUCUUCUCAAGUACAAACUGCUCAGCAACUAAUUCAAGUAAGAACACAUUUCAUCUAUAUAUAUACAUAUGUUACAUGAAAUGGCAUUGUAUAACAAAAUACUAAGAUUACUCUUCCUUUUUACAUGCUACCGUCUGGUUCUUUCCUCGGCAUUAAACUGUAUAUGUCGUUUACCUAUGUGUAGGAGUUCAUCAGCAAUCACAAGGAACCGUCUUCGGUUUCAGGGGGAUAUGCUAGAGUGGAUACUGGUUAUGUACCUGCGUACCCUCCUCAGCUAAGCAACCUUCAAGAGCCGCUCGCGAGCAGCUACAUGGGCACAGAGACGGGGCAGUACAGACCAACAGCAUACUCUCAGCUUGCGGGUCCGUCGGCGUCCACCUACACGCCGUCACUGAAUGGGCAAACUUAUGGAACGGAAUAUAGACCAGCU